AGUAGCGGUGAAAUGCGUAGAUAUCGGGAGGGAACACCCAGUGGCGAAGGCGGCCUCCUGGGCUGCUCCUGACGCUGAAGGCGAUAGCUAGGGGAGCGAACGGGAUUAGAAACCCCGGUAGUCCUAGCCGUAAACGAUGGAUGCUAGGUGUGGGGGGUGUAGAUUCCCUCCGUGCCGCAGUUAACGCGUUAAGCAUCCCGCCUGGGGAGUACGGCCGCAAGGCUAAAACUCAAACGAAUUGACGGGGGCCCGCACAAGCAGCGGAGCGUGUGGUUUAAUUCGAUGCUACACGAAGAACCUUACCUGGGCUUGACAUACAGGUAGUAGUGAAGUGAAAGCGGAUCGACCCUUCGGAGAGCCUGUACAGGUGCUGCAUGGCUGUCGUCAGCUCGUGCCGUGAGGUGUCGGGUUAAGUCCCGUAACGAGCGCAACCCUUGCUCUUAGUUAUACGUGUCUAAGAGGACUGCCGGCGGUAAGCCGGAGGAAGGUGGGGAUGACGUCAAGUCAGCAUGGCCUUUAUGUCCAGGGCUACACACACGCUACAAUGGUCGGUACAAUGGGUAGCUAAACCGCGAGGUGGAGCCAAUCCUGUAAAGCCGGUCUCAGUUCGAAUUGCAGGCUGCAACUCGCCUGCAUGAAGUCGGAGUUGCUAGUAAUCGCAGGUCAGCAAUACUGCGGUGAAUACGUUCCCGGGCCUUGUACACACCGCCCGUCACGUCAUGGAAGCUGGCAACACCUGAAGCCGGUGAGCUAACCCGAAAGGGGGGCAACUGUCGAAGGUGAGGCUGGUGACUGGGACGAAGUCGUAACAAGGUAACCAAGGGCGAA
This 828-nucleotide ribosomal RNA is filed under the name uncultured organism. RNAcentral describes it as "bacterial SSU rRNA". It matches the Rfam family "Bacterial small subunit ribosomal RNA", at positions 674 to 1510 of the family's 1533-position model. The record is from RNAcentral.